Long non-coding RNA from Selaginella moellendorffii, 1235 nucleotides. RefSeq lists it as uncharacterized. Lineage: Eukaryota; Viridiplantae; Streptophyta; Lycopodiopsida; Selaginellales; Selaginellaceae. The record is from RefSeq and is a predicted model, not a curated record. The transcript is spliced from 3 exons.
GUAAGUAACUCCGCCAUUCCAUCCCGCUGUGGACUGCGAAGAAUCCAUUGCGCGCUACACACAUCCAGUUCCAAGUCCUCAGUGUCACCAUCUCAAGAGCUCUUCGAUCAGGACCGCGAGUCACUACUCGGCCUCCACCGUCAUCUUAAAGAUCCUGCGGAGGGAUAGGAAAUGCGAGUUCCAAAGAGAUGAAUCACGAGGGAUUCCAUGCACCUUAAAGAACAUCCGCCGCGACUCUGUCAUCCUUGAUGAGUAUCCUAUCGAACAAUGCAGUUGCUUGCUCCAUAUCCCCACUGUGGGCAUCAUCGCACUGGGGCAUCCCAAAGAAGAUUUGGCUGGCGUGAUGCAUGUCUCGGCCCGAGCCAAGCCAGAACAGCUCGUUGCGGCAUUUGCCUCGUCAUGAUGCCCAUUCGGGGCAUAUGUGCUCACUAUUGUCGUCCAGGUCACCACGUCCUGGCUUUCCUCGCAUCAGCAACGCGAUUUUCUUCGCAAAGGACCCGUAAUAGGAUGUUCCGAGAGAAGGGGAGUGGAAAACCUUGAUCGCCUCGUCUGGCAUAUGUGAUAGCAGAAUGUGCAUUGCCGGUACUUGCUCGCCAGGAUGCGGGAGGAUUCGAGUGGUUGAGAUAGAAUGACUCACUUGUAGCGCUAUGCCUCGUGGAACAUCGCUCACCUUAAAGGAAGGAUUGCGUUCCAAGGAAUCUGCUUUAGGUUGGAAGAUGAAGGGCUGAAUGUUUCCAUUGGAAUCUAACGAUUGAGAAGAUCUUCUUUCAAAUAGAUGUGAUAUGAACUCACUUCUGGUUUCUGUUUUUUCUCUUGCAGGCAUAGUCAUAACUGGUGGCAUUUAGAGCUUUGUCAUCUAGAGGGUGGUCCAGCUGAGAACGUGCUACGCAUAUUUGACACCCGUAUAUGGGGAGACCACGAAAGAGCUGAAAGGGAUACAUUUGCGGUGAGCUUAAACGCGUUGGAAUUUUUGCUGUGUCUUCAAGUAAACAGAUUUGGAGAUCACAUCACGAAGCUCUUUGUGGACAAGUCCACAUGAUUUUCUGGUCCUUUGGUCACUGGUUCGAAGCUCUUUAUUGCAGAGGCCAAACAAUUACUCUCAUAUUUGAAUCAACGGUGAGAAAUGUUGUCAAAGUGACCUCACUCUGACUCUCAUCAGAGCAUAAAUGAUCGGUUCUACAGAGGAGAUUCACCAAACGAUAGUCUCGGUAAUCAAUGCUGAUUUAGUUUGUGUU